CGGAACUUAAUGAAGAAAAUACUUUAAAAAUGCAUGUUAAUAGGCAAAAAAUGAUGACUGAAUAUUGAAUAUUUCUAUAAAAUUCUGUAAAUUGGUACAUAAUUUAUGCAUUUGAAUGGAAUGUUGCCCGGUG
Molecule: non-coding RNA, 133 nt
Organism: Caenorhabditis elegans
Lineage: Eukaryota; Metazoa; Nematoda; Chromadorea; Rhabditida; Rhabditidae
Source: Ensembl